UACGGGGGGAGCAAGCGUUGUUCGGAUUUACUGGGCGUAAAGGGCGCGUAGGCGGCCAGCUCAAGUCCGUUGUGAAAUCUCCGGGCUUAACUCGGAAAGGUCAACUGAUACUGCGCGGCUAGAGUGCAGAAGGGGCAACUGGAAUUCUCGGUGUAGCGGUGAAAUGCGUAGAUAUCGAGAGGAACACCUGCGGCGAAGGCGGGUUGCUGGGCUGACACUGACGCUGAUGCGCGAAAGCCAGGGGAGCGAACGGG
This 254-nucleotide ribosomal RNA is filed under the name uncultured bacterium. Its description in RNAcentral is "partial 16S ribosomal RNA". It matches the Rfam family "Bacterial small subunit ribosomal RNA", at positions 524 to 776 of the family's 1533-position model. The record is from RNAcentral.